ACCCUCAAUAAGAUGGACCUGUAAAAAAAUUGUGUUUAUACUACAGAAAAUGAAAUUCGUUUUGCAAAUAAAUAGCACAUGUUAAAGAAUGCAAUGACCAAGUUUAAUCAUAUGCAAUGGUAACUAAAGGCAUAAAAUGCAAUGACAAAAAAAUACGGCAUCAGAUUCAAAAAAAAUGGUUUGAUCUAUGCUCAGUACAAAUAAACUGUACAAGUUUGUCAGUUUAUAUGCUAAAUACAACUUCCAUUCGAACUGUAUAGGCCUUUUAAAUUCAUUAAUUUUUCAGAAAUUUGUACUCACCUGCUUUCUGUUACUAUAAGUAUUAAACACUCAGCACACUCCACUUCAAGUAUGCCUGGCCAUGGUCCAGGUUGAGCCCAGAACCAAACUGGCUACUAGGAAGGCCCAUUAACCAGACUGGUCGAGUCUGGUUCGGUUUUUAAAAAAUAAAUAAAUAAAUA
RNAcentral lists this unclassified non-coding RNA (461 nucleotides) under Hevea brasiliensis (rubber tree). The record is from RNAcentral. Lineage: Eukaryota; Viridiplantae; Streptophyta; Magnoliopsida; Malpighiales; Euphorbiaceae.